CAGCCGUGCUGGCGCGAAAUCAGCUCGACCACUCGGGGAUCACGGGCCGUAGCGAGCCUCAAAACCGCUACGACUCGUGAUUUCUUAGUGGCCUGGUGCACUUUCGUGUCGGCUGGUUAACAUCAAUUUCGAUCGUCAUAAAAAGGCUGGAGGGAUGUGGCUCCUUCGGGAGUGUUAUAACCUUUAGCGGAAUGUGGUGGUCGGGAUUGAGGCUUGCAACGAAUACCUUCAGGGCUGUUCCACCUGGCCUCUCAUCGGAAUCCUGGCGGCGACAGCUUGCUGACGUUGUUAGGAUCGGCCUUCGAACAGGCUAGAGUGUGAGCAAA
Molecule: ribosomal RNA, 326 nt
Filed under: uncultured Glomeromycotina
Lineage: Eukaryota; Fungi; Glomeromycota
Description: LSU rRNA
Source: RNAcentral